RNAcentral lists this long non-coding RNA (6766 nucleotides) under Capsicum annuum. Its description in RNAcentral is "long non-coding RNA (CANN_LNC020150)". Lineage: Eukaryota; Viridiplantae; Streptophyta; Magnoliopsida; Solanales; Solanaceae. The record is from RNAcentral.
GCCAUUCUCCCUUUCUUCGAUCAAAACCAAUUUUUGUUUUAGUUGAUCCCUCUCUUUCUGGGUAUCAUGUAGCAAUACUUUCAAGUGAUCCCUCUGCUCUUCGUCUUCUUUGAACAAAGUCAUGAGAAAAUCUCUAUUUUCUUUGCAUUCUCGGAGUCUUUGUAGUAGAUUAAAUUUUGCCAAGCCAUGAAAAUUUGAUGUCUUGGAUCCUUGACUCAACGUUGAUGGACUGCUUGGAGGUGAUACCCCAUCAAGACAUUUAAAAAAGAGCAUGCGCUAUUAUCCUAAAAAAAUAAUAAUUACAUAACGAUUUACUAAAUUUAUUAAAAAGACAUACACAACUCACCUUUGCAAUUGCACAGUUAUAAAUUUACGACCUCAAUUUAAGUCUAUGCGUGACGUCCUCAAGACAGCUGUAUUUCCACAAUGACAAAUUAGAGUCGUUUUAGAAUUGGAUGAAUGAAAUACUUGAGGCAUUGUAUAAUUUUAAAAUAAAAAUAAUUAGAUGAAAUAAAAUAAUGAGGGAUGGAGGACUUUAUAUAUGAAGUAAAAAGAAGUGCUAACACUGAAGGAGUACAAAGUUAGCCGUUUAUUAUCAUUGGAACAGUAAUUAUAUUUUUUGAACUGUUGAUGACACUUAAUAGACUGUCAUAGAUCAUGACCUAUGUCAGUCAUCAACGAGAUACUAAAUUCUACCAUAGACACUCAUAAUCGAUGGACCCUCAAUAACAUAGUUAAAAAAAUAAUUCAGUAAAAAAUAUACUUGUGCUUUGAGGGUCCAUCAAUUCAAUUGAUCUACCUUAGGCUUACACUUUAUGUAGAGCAUCGAUUGAUCUAUGUAUUAUUCAUAGAUCGCGUAGAUCUAUGUACACUGGUAUAGACCAUUACUUGAAUGUUGUUUAACAAUGAAUAAAUAAAUUAAAAAUAAAUGUAGUGUGAGUUUCUACGCAUAUGAAGGAGUGUAAAUAAGUCACAUAAUCAUAUUGGAGCUUAUACAAAUUAGGGAUGGUGAAUUAAGAAGUGUGUGAAUGGCCAGUGGUUGAACAAACAAUAUCCUAAGAGUAAUGUUUGUCAAAGCACAAGUAUGUUUUGAGGAUGAUGAUUGUUCAACCACUAUCCAUUCCACAUACUCUUUUGAUUUGGGGUGGUGAUUAAAGGAGUAUGUGAAAUGGGUAGUCAUCAAAUGCAGUCAACAUCCUCAAAACAUACUUGUGCUUUGACAAACAUUAUUCUUAGGAUAUUAUUUGUUCAACCACUACCCAUCCACACACUUCUUAAUUCACCAUCCCUAAUUUGUAUAAGCUCUAAUAUGAUUAUGUGACUUGUUUAAACUUCUUCAUAUGUGUAGAAAAUCACAAUUUAUUUAAUUUUAAUUUAUUUAUUCAAUUUUUAAUAACAUCCAAGUGAGGGUCUAUUACCUUGUACAUAGAUCUCUGUGGUCUAUGAAUAAUCAGGAGAUCAAUCGAUGCACUUCUUAGGUGUAAGUCUACGGUAAACCAAACGAAUUGAUGACCUUCAAAGCACAAGUAUAUUUUUUACAUGGGUCAACAUCGAUGAAAGUCUAUUAAGUGUCACCAACAAUUCAAGAUUGUUUGUUGAACCACCCCAAAUCAUGUGAUUAUGUGUUUAAAACUUUUUUAUAUUAAUUAUUUUUUUCACCACUCACAAAUCAUAUGAUUAUGUGUUUAAAUUUAUUUUAAUUUAAUUAUUUUUUUCAACACCCACAAAUCAUGUGAUUAUGUGUUUAAACUUUUUAAAUUUAAUCAUUUUCUUUCGCCACCCCUAAAUCAUGUGAUUACGUGUUUAAAAUUUUUAAUUUAAUCAAUUUUUUUCAAACUACAUGCUACUGAUGGUGCAUCGAUUCAUAUAGUCUACAAUCGACCUAUAUGUCCGGUCGAGGAGUGAAUAUGUCUAAGAUCGAUGAUAGACUAUAUAUAUGAUCUGUAUUUAUUAUGAAAUUUUUUUUACUCUACAUGAAUUUAAUCAAGUCAAUCUACAGAUGCAUUCAUUGAACAAGCAAUAAAGUAAACACAAAAAACAACAAUAACCAAAAAGAGGGAAAUAAAAUUUGAAAACUGAAAUAUUUAUAUCAAUAUUUGUUCAUUGCACAAUUAUUCAUUAUCAUCACUGGCCAGAACAAGAAAAAAAGGCAAAAAAGAAGUUUUCUUCUAACAACAAUCUUACCCAAAAAACUUCUUCUGCAAUGAAUACAUAAAAAAAUUUAUAAACAUAAAAUAAAAUAAAAACUUAAAAAACUAAUUUUAGUGUGAUGCUGGGGGGAUGUAGUUGGGGCCUUAUAUUCCUGGCCUUUUCAGAAUUGCCCUCAAUAAACGAGCAAUUCAGCGGAUUUCACGCUUUAAGUAGAUGUGGUCUUGACCCAGGCCAUGAAAAAAAUGAUCAAAAUCAUUCCUUAACAGUAGGAGAUCGUAGUGCCGUGGAAGAACUCGUUUGAUGGGGAGUAGCGGUAUCCUUAUAUGAGGCAUGAUUUCAAUUUGAUGAAGAAGAGGGUUUCUAAACUUUUGGGUUUAGGUAGAACUGAAUGCUUACAUAGAAAUAGUCACUGUACUUAUAGACUCAUAGAAGUCAUUGUUUCAUAUUCACAACGAAUGAUCAAUCAACAUUUGUGGGAAUAAAAAAGGAUUACCUUGCGUAUACCAAUAGUUUUUAUGUGAAUAGACGUGUUUGCAACUUUUAAUUAAUUGGGAACAGGAAACAAUAAUUCAAUGUAUUGAUUAGAGAGAUAUAAGGGCAAAAAGACCCAUAUAGAGUGUUUAAUGAGUAAUCAUAUAACCAAUACAAAAUAUUUAAUAGACUGUGUACAAUAUAUAUCAUAGAAUGAUGGUGUCUAUCGUAGAUAAAUCUUUAAGUCGAUUACAACUGAACGUUAAAUUCGACAUAAAUGCACAUUUAUCCCCCAAAAUAGUAGCUUUAGAAAUGAAGAAAAAAAGCCCAUCUAAGAUUUAUUGGUCAUGCUACAUGUGGUUCAUUUGUACCCGAAUUUCUUGCAUAUUGAAUACCAAUUCCUCCUUUUGGACUUGAAUGUCUCAUCGACGCCCUUAACAUGUUUGACUUUUUUCCUUCCAAGUUUGGAUUGUAGAGGGUGGAAAAAUCUUAGUGUCUUGCAAUUCCUGUGGCACAGCCCAUUCAAACUCUGGAGGGACAACGUUAAUAGCUUCGGAGUAUGCGAGGAGGUAACUUUCAAAUUUAUAAAUUAGUGAAGAGUACUCGUAGAUAGAGUUACCAUAACCUUCUCCAUCACCAUACUUUGCUCGUAAAGUGGACAUCGCAUGUUUGCACGAUAUUUUCACAAAGUCAUAUUUCCUACAAGAACAACUCCUCUUCAAGAGAUUGACCUUGGCAGUAAUGCCAUUGCCGAACACGGUGAAUUAGUCGAGACCCCCAUUUGCAUUAGUCACUUACAAGGAAUUGCUAUCACUUUUAUUAUUCCUUAGGAUCUUUUUCGCACAAGACACAAAUUUGUUGUUUGUACUAUCGACAAAGGCAUGUCAUUCCCUAAUCUUUUGACCAAAUUUUAUAGUAAUUGAAUUGAAUAUGUAUGACACAGAAUACUCUCGUUCAUCUAUCAAUACCGAGUUUAGCGACUCGGCAAUAUUUGUGGUCAUCACAUCAUACCUAUUAUCCGGGAAGUGUGCUCUACUCCAUUUCUCAAAAUCAAGCACAUUUUCAAGGACGUGCUGCCUCGAGGUAAUUAUUCUUCAAUUCUGCAAAAUACUCGCUAAAAUCAUCAAGAGAAUAAGCCUUUGCCAUGGCAUAAAAUAAAUAAAGAUGUUCUCCACAGUGUUGAUUUACACGAAGAUUUUCAGCGAGGUGUCUCAUGCAAAGUCUAUGGUGUGCAGGACUGUUAACACGGGAGAAGGCAUUGGCAAUGCUAAUGUGCCUAUCGGAGAUGACAUAUAGAUCUGGUUUAUCUUCUACUAUAGACUUCAACUUCUCGAAGAAGAAGAUUCAAGAAGAAUCAUUCUCUUUAUCCAUGACACAAAAGGUAAUUGGAAAGAGAUGAUUUUCGGUGUCCUAUGCAACAACACUCAGCAACACGCCCCGUACUUGUCAUACAAAUGUGUGCCAUCGAUGGUAAUUACCUUUCUCAAGUGGGCAUCUCCCCAUAUGCAAGCUUCGAAUGCUAAAAAGUAGUAAACGAAUGAUCCGUCCAUCCUAUUUACCAUGAUAGAGUAAGAAGACCUGAGAUUCAAUAACUCCACUAUGUGGAAAAAUGUUGACAAGCAAGCAUAUCCGUGCUCCGGUGUCCCACGAAUAAUGUUCUUCGCAAUUAUACUUUCUUUCCAACAUAUCCAAUAGCUUGUGUUUCAAUGCAUCUUCCUAAACACAAUCCUCUAGAUUUCUCUUAUGCUUGGACCCUUACCAUCCCGAAAAUGAUUUAUGCAUAGUAAAACAAUCAAUUCAGAUGAGAUUCUCUUAUGCCUACUCGUGGCAUAUUCAACAUUACACGUGUUGAACCCAACAUAUUUGUAUAUGUAAAAUUUGUUCGAGGAUUUGUACUUCUUUGCUCACAAUAACCAGCCUUAACUAUGAGAUACAUAUUUUGCCUUCAACAAUUUGGUGCAACUCUUCUCCGUAAAUAAUUAAACUAUUGCCUCAAUGUUACUAUGUCUAGUAGCAUUUUGACCUCUUUCUUGUCAGCGAAUGUUUGAUCACAAUAGAAUUGGUUCCAUCGACGAAGGAAUGUCUUGGUUGUGAUCCCGUUCCAUAAUCUUCUUUCACAUCUUGUGAGUUCGAUGAAACGUCUUUCAUAUGGAUAGAAUUAUCUUCUAUAUUAAUUAGAUGAUCGUCUUCGUUCUCAUAAUUAUUCAAAUCAUCGUCGACUGGCCGACGUCGAGGUGGAGGUGGUGAUGAAUUCAGUGAUUCUUCAAAGGGCUUCUCAACUAUAUUUAUCCUUAAAAUAGGUCUAAAGCCAUAUACAUCAACAUCCAUCAUGUACAACGACACACUUAUAUUAUUAUUUAUGAUUGUAGGUUGCACUUUUUCCCUCGAAUGCAUUAGUAACUAAUCACUACAUCACUCGACGCGCAAUCUAGAUCCCCGCUCUCCAUUACGCUUGUAACCAAGUCUUCAUAUGAACCGUUACAACGAACAACAAUGGUAGUGUCACCUUGGUAAAAGGUCUUCAUUUCCAACAUUUGGGAGUCUCCUGUCAUUCUCCCAUGAAAUCAUCAGAAACCAAAACAAAUUCUGUAAUAGAUAUCCUAGAAUUAAGCUUUGGUCGAUAGUCGAUUAUACUGAUGGUCUAUGUCGGGAUAUAUGCACGGUUGAUGAUUGGGAAGAUAUCUAUAUAAAAACCUUGAAAUUGUAAAUAUUUCUUCUAAUCAACGAUCGUUGGGUUUAUGGAAUAGAGAAAUGAACUUGGAUUCGCCUGAGUAAUGUACUUUCUAAAGAGGUUUUGAGUAAUGUGAGUGAUUUAAAACUUUUUAACAAUGGUGGAAAGUGUGUUUGGGAAGAUAGCAAACAAAUGGGGUAACAAUGGAUGCAAUAGACAAGCUUAUUAUGUUUGUGGACUGAUUUAGAUCUGAUCGUCGAAAAAGUGGCCUGAAUCGGAGCUUUUUGGAGGGAAAGAACCUUCUAUUUUAAGCUUUUGGAAUUUUUUAAAAUUAUUUUUGAAAACCUAUAUAUUUUUGUAUUAUAUAAUUGUGGAUGAUGGGGUGAGUUGAAGUGUAUUAUUAGAAACUUGUGAUGUAUUUGUUAAGUUGGAAAGAUUGAAUGAUGGAGUGGGUUGAAGUAUAUUAUUAGAAACUUGUGGAUGAAUUUAUUGAGUUGAAAAGGUUGGAUGAUGAGGUGACUUUAAGUGGGUAUAUGACAAAUUUUUCAAGACUUUUGUCUAAAUAACAAAAUAAGUCUUGAAAACAUCUUUUUUGGCAUGAAAGCCCAAGUGAUUAGGGUAGCACAGUGACAUUAUUAUUAUUAUUAUUAUUAUAGGAAUUUUACUUUUAUAUUUAUGAAGACCAAAACUUCUGAUAUAUUUACUAUAAUAGUUGAAAUGCGUCCUUAAUUUAUACCCGAGGGUUACUUAGAUGUGUGUUAUAGCAAUGAAAGACAAUGUUAAUCUUGGGUCUAUUAGCAACUCUUGGAGAGGGUCGUGAUUAGUUUUAAAAACGAAAUUGUCGGGUGUAAAAAACUUCCGUUAUGCAUAGGUUCAAAAAGAUAAUUGUACCAUAAGAAUCUAUUGUACGUAGCUUGAUUAGUGUAUAUAUAUUAAUCCAGAAUAUUUGUUACUGCAUUGGAUCUAUUUAUCUUGCUAUAUUAUUAUUGUUAUUUUCUUUUCUAUCAUGAAUUAUCUACCCAUCUUGUGUGCUGGGUCAUCAUAAACAACUUCUCCGCCCCUCCACACACAAAGUUAGGAAAUAGGUAUGCAUCCGUCCUCAGAUGCCACGUGUGUGAGUAUAUUGUAUAUUAUCCAUAAAUACUCAAGAAAGAAAAAUAAUUGCUUAACAAUUUAUAUAGCAUAAUACAGUCCAAUAGAAUCGUACUACACCCUUAAUCUUUUUUCAAAAUCAAAAUUCAAAUAAAAGCGAUUAGUAUGAAGCAUUUCUAAUUACCUCUAGCAGUUGAACAGACAAUUAAGCACAUGAAUGUAGAGUCCUUUAACAAAAUUCUUCGGUUCAUAUCCUGUAGAUUGAAGUGAGAAGGAAGAAUUCAUAGUCAAUUGUUGAUUAUGCGUAAUUCAUAUAUAUAAUCUUCAAAUAUAUUUACUAAAAGAAAUAAAGAAAAAUCAGAAAAAUGAUAAUAAUGCGAG